UCUAGUCGAUAGAAGAAUGUAGAUAAGGGAAGGCGGCAAACUAGAUCCGUAACUUCGGGAAAAGGAUUGGCUCUGAGGGUUGGGUGUAGGGGUCCUUGUGCUGAUGUUUGAGCUAAGCAACAGCUACUUGACGCUUCUGGUGGAUAGUGGCUGUCUGCAUGGUAAAAGCUGCUGGGCAAGGAAUGCCUUCCGGGGCUUUCUGUGCACAAUGAACAACUAACUCAGAACUGAAGCGGACAAGGGGAAUCCGACUGUUUAAUUAAAACAAAGCAUUGCGAAGGCCGGAGACGGUGUUGACGCAAUGUGAUUUCUG
This 313-nucleotide ribosomal RNA is filed under the name Asterionellopsis glacialis. RNAcentral's name for it is "partial Eukaryotic large subunit ribosomal RNA". It matches the Rfam family "Eukaryotic large subunit ribosomal RNA", at positions 1882 to 2200 of the family's 3401-position model. The record is from RNAcentral. Lineage: Eukaryota; Bacillariophyta; Plagiogrammaphyceae; Rhaphoneidales; Asterionellopsidaceae.